UACGAAGGUCCCGAGCGUUAUCCGGAUUUAUUGGGUUUAAAGGGUGCGUAGGCGGACUAUUAAGUCAGUGGUGAAAGCCUUCAGCUUAACUGAAGAAUUGCCAUUGAUACUGAUGAUCUUGAGUAUGAUUGAGGUGGGCGGAAUGUGUCAUGUAGCGGUGAAAUGCUUAGAUAUGACACAGAACACCGAUUGCGAAGGCAGCUCACUAAGCCAUAACUGACGCUGAUGCACGAAAGCGUGGGGAGCAAACAGG
RNAcentral lists this ribosomal RNA (253 nucleotides) under uncultured bacterium. Its description in RNAcentral is "partial 16S ribosomal RNA". It matches the Rfam family "Bacterial small subunit ribosomal RNA", at positions 524 to 776 of the family's 1533-position model. The record is from RNAcentral.